UACAGAGGUCCCAAGCGUUGUUCGGAUUCACUGGGCGUAAAGGGUGCGUAGGCGGUCGGGUAAGUCUGAUGUGAAAUCUCACAGCUUAACUGUGAAACUGCAUUGGAUACUAUCCGGCUCGAGGAAUGGAGGGGAGACUGGAAUACUUGGUGUAGCAGUGAAAUGCGUAGAUAUCAAGUGGAACACCAGUGGCGAAGGCGACUUACUGGACUGUAACUGACGCUGAGGCAUGAAAGCGUGGGGAGCAAACAGG
This 253-nucleotide ribosomal RNA is filed under the name uncultured bacterium. RNAcentral describes it as "partial 16S ribosomal RNA". It matches the Rfam family "Bacterial small subunit ribosomal RNA", at positions 524 to 776 of the family's 1533-position model. The record is from RNAcentral.